UAUAGGUAAUAUGUUGUUUUGUAUAUAGGAAAAGUAUAUUAAUCGGUGGAGAAAAAUAACAGCAGAGGUUAACCAUUUCACAACAGAUAUAAGCAGUUCUCAUAGUUGUUGUAGUCAGGAAGAUAGACUGUUUUUAUCUGACACGUCUUGAAAAAGGGGACAAUGAAGAUUCUGUUUCUAUCGCAUCGUCCAGAAGUGAUUUACUCAGAUUGUAUUCUAGUUCUUCAGAAUGAAUUGCUGACAUUGAAUAAGAAAAUAGUAGUCUACCUACUUUGAGUGAACAGCUUGCAUCGUGGGCUACUAGAAACAUAUGUAGGCAAGACUGUGUUAAUGAAAUUUUGAGUAUUUCAAGACAAAAUAGUCACUCUACUUAUCCCUAAGAUUGUCGCACCUAAAUUCAAAUUCCAAAAUCUACAUCAUGAGUUGAAAAAUGCGGUGGUACAUAUGCUUACUUUGGGAUUGAAAGUGGAAUUAUGAAAACAAUUUUUAAUAACAUUUUAUUUUUAAACCAAAAUAAAGAGAUUGAUUUAAUAAUUAAUAUUGAUGGUCUUCCCCUUUUUAAGUCUUCAAAUUUACAGAAGUGGCCUAUUUUAGCUAAAUUUGAUAAGUAUGAUGUAUUUAUUGUGGCACUUUUUUGUGGAAACUCAAAGCCGACAUCUUUAAAUGACUAUUUGUAUGAUUUUAAAAUAGAAGUUAUUAAUCUUUUACAAAAUAGAUUUAAUUUUAACGAUAAAAAAAUAAAAGUUAAUUUAAAGUGUUUUGCAUGUGAUUCUCCUGCCAGAGCAUUCCUGAAGUCAAUUGUAAGUCAUUCAGAUAUAUAAUAAUUUUUUUUUUGUGUUCAUGGUUCCAGAAAAAAGUUGUCUUCCUUUUGAAAGAAAUUCGAGAUAACCAAAAAUCAGAAGCGCGUGCCAGAUUAGAGUUAGAUGUAGAAUUGAUUCAGCGCCAAAAUAUAGCAGAGUUUCAAGCUUUAGAGUAAGAAUUAUUAGACAUUGAGUUUAAACAAAAAUUUGUUAGAAGAAUUGCUAAAGUUGGUGGUGUGAAUGUAAAAGAAAAUAUUGCAAACGUUUUAAAUAGGCUGAUGAAUAAUCAUCUGAUGAGUGAUUUUAAUAUGAAGGGUAAGGAUGGAAAGCAGCCCUUUAGUGUUACUUGCCUUUAUAAAAUAAUAAAAACAAACGCUCUUAAUUUAAACAAUUGCAAUGAGAAGGAUGUCGACGAUGCCAUUUCAAAGCACCUUAAGCAUGCGCCAAAGAGAAAAGGUGGACGUAAAUUCACCGAAAAAAAUGUUUUAUAACGAUAUUUUGAAAUGUUCAUGUAACGUAUUUGUUUAUAAAUGUAUUAAAAUUCAGUUAUAUUUUUAGUCAAUAUAUAUUUCUCUAAAUUUAUUUUAUUUUUAGUAUAUUUUAUUGUUAUUAUAACU
Molecule: long non-coding RNA, 1417 nt
Organism: Hydra vulgaris (swiftwater hydra)
Lineage: Eukaryota; Metazoa; Cnidaria; Hydrozoa; Anthoathecata; Hydridae
Source: RefSeq, a predicted model, not a curated record